Molecule: ribosomal RNA, 440 nt
Filed under: uncultured bacterium
Lineage: Bacteria
Description: partial 16S ribosomal RNA
Rfam family: Bacterial small subunit ribosomal RNA
Source: RNAcentral
CCUACGGGUGGCAGCAGUGGGGAAUAUUGCACAAUGGGGGAAACCCUGAUGCAGCGACGCCGCGUGAGUGAAGAAGUAUUUCGGUAUGUAAAGCUCUAUCAGCAGGGAAGAAAAUGACGGUACCUGACUAAGAAGCCCCGGCUAACUACGUGCCAGCAGCCGCGGUAAUACGUAGGGGGCAAGCGUUAUCCGGAUUUACUGGGUGUAAAGGGAGCGUAGACGGCUGGUCAAGUCUGAAGGGAAAGCCCGGGGCCUAACCCCGGAACGGCUUUGGAAACUGAGGAGCUAGAGUGAUGGAGAGGUAAGCGGAAUUCCUAGUGUAGCGGUGAAAUGCGUAGAUAUUAGGAGGAACACCAGUGGCGAAGGCGGCUUACUGGACAGUAACUGACGUUGAGGCUCGAAAGCGUGGGGAGCAAACAGGAUUAGAUACCCCGGUAGUC